UACGGAGGGUGCAAGCGUUAUCCGGAUUUACUGGGUUUAAAAGGGUGCGUAGGCGGGUAGGUAAGUCAGUGGUGAAAUCUCCGAGCUUAACUCGGAAACUGCCUUUGAUACUAUUUAUCUUGAAUAUUGUGGAGGUAAGCGGAAUAUGUCAUGUAGCGGUGAAAUGCUUAGAUAUGACAUAGAACACCUAUUGCGAAGGCAGCUUACUACGCAUAUAUUGACGCUGAGGCACGAAAGCGUGGGGAUCAAACAGG
This 254-nucleotide ribosomal RNA is filed under the name uncultured bacterium. RNAcentral's name for it is "partial 16S ribosomal RNA". It matches the Rfam family "Bacterial small subunit ribosomal RNA", at positions 524 to 776 of the family's 1533-position model. The record is from RNAcentral.